AAUGCCUAGGAAUCUGCCUGGUAGUGGGGGACAACGUUUCGAAAGGAACGCUAAUACCGCAUACGUCCUACGGGAGAAAGCAGGGGACCUUCGGGCCUUGCGCUAUCAGAUGAGCCUAGGUCGGAUUAGCUAGUUGGUGGGGUAAUGGCUCACCAAGGCGACGAUCCGUAACUGGUCUGAGAGGAUGAUCAGUCACACUGGAACUGAGACACGGUCCAGACUCCUACGGGAGGCAGCAGUGGGGAAUAUUGGACAAUGGGCGAAAGCCUGAUCCAGCCAUGCCGCGUGUGUGAAGAAGGUCUUCGGAUUGUAAAGCACUUUAAGUUGGGAGGAAGGGCAGUAAGUUAAUACCUUGCUGUUUUGACGUUACCGACAGAAUAAGCACCGGCUAACUCUGUGCCAGCAGCCGCGGUAAUACAGAGGGUGCAAGCGUUAAUCGGAAUUACUGGGCGUAAAGCGCGCGUAGGUGGUUUGUUAAGUUGGAUGUGAAAGCCCCGGGCUCAACCUGGGAACUGCAUCCAAAACUGGCAAGCUAGAGUACGGUAGAGGGUGGUGGAAUUUCCUGUGUAGCGGUGAAAU
This 579-nucleotide ribosomal RNA is filed under the name Pseudomonas monteilii. Its description in RNAcentral is "bacterial SSU rRNA". It matches the Rfam family "Bacterial small subunit ribosomal RNA", at positions 112 to 687 of the family's 1533-position model. The record is from RNAcentral. Lineage: Bacteria; Pseudomonadati; Pseudomonadota; Gammaproteobacteria; Pseudomonadales; Pseudomonadaceae.